Molecule: non-coding RNA, 255 nt
Organism: Pelobates cultripes (western spadefoot toad)
Lineage: Eukaryota; Metazoa; Chordata; Amphibia; Anura; Pelobatidae
Source: the annotation of a GenBank genome assembly
CUGCGGGACUCCUCGCACGAUAACAUUACAAUAAGCUGUAGUUUCUACUUAAUUGACACUUAAAGUACCAGAACCACUACAGCAGACCCUCAACAAUGCAAACACUGCCCUUUUCAAGGAUAGGCAAUGUUUGCAUUGCUUGCCACUAGAGGUCCUUCCUGGUGUGGUACUGCAACCUUUGCUGGACUGAUAUUUGCGGUCUUCAUGCUCUGUAUAAAGAAGAGUAAUGCUCCACGCUGCAAAGCAUUGGAUUGG